GGGGAAUCUUGCACAAUGGGGGAAACCCUGAUGCAGCGACGCCGCGUGAGCGAUGAAGCCUUUCGGGGUGUAAAGCUCUUACGCCAGGGACGAUAAUGACGGUACCUGGAGAAGCAGCUGCGGCUAACUACGUGCCAGCAGCCGCGGUAAUACGUAGGCAGCAAGCGUUGUUCGGAAUUACUGGGCGUAAAGGGUGCGUAGGCGGUGUACUAAGUUUGGUGUGAAAUCUCCCGGCUCAACUGGGAGGGUGCGCCGAAAACUGGGACACUCGAGUGUGGGAGAGGAAAGCGGAAUUCCUGGUGUAGCGGUGAAAUGCGUAGAGAUCAGGAGGAACACCUGCGGUGUAGACGGCUUUCUGGACCAUAACUGACGCUGAGGCACGAAAGCGUGGGUAGCAAAC
This 400-nucleotide ribosomal RNA is filed under the name uncultured bacterium. RNAcentral describes it as "bacterial SSU rRNA". It matches the Rfam family "Bacterial small subunit ribosomal RNA", at positions 356 to 773 of the family's 1533-position model. The record is from RNAcentral.